CUUGAGCACGUAGGUGGGUUUGUAAGUCAGGUGUGAAAGCCUUCUGUUCAACGGGAGAAUUGCAUCUGAAACUACGAAUCUUGAGUGUAGGAGGGGAGAAUGGAACUUCCGGUGGAGCGGUGAAAUCCGUAGAUAUCAGAAGGAACGCCGGCGGCGAAAGCGAUUCUCUGGCCUAUUACUGACACUCAGUGUGCGAAAGCUAGGGGAGCAAACGGGAUUAGAUACCCCGGUAGUCCUAGCCGUAAACGAUGGGCACUAAGUAGAGGGGAUUACCGACGUUCUCUCUGCCGUAGCUAACGCAUUAAGUGCCCCGCCUGGGGAGUACGGCCGCAAGGCUAAAACUCAAAAGAAUUGACGGGGGCUCGCACAAGCGGUGGAGCAUGUGGCUUAAUUCGAUGCAACGCGAAGAACCUUACCGGGGCUUGACAUGGUAGAAGUAGGAACCCGAAAGGGUAACGAACGGUAUCCAGUCCGUGACUAUCACAGGUGUUGCAUGGCUGUCGUCAGCUCGUGUCGUGAGACGUUGGGUUAAGUCCCCUAACGAGCGAAACCCUUGUUUUUAGUUACCAGCGGGUUAUGCCGGGUACUCUAGAAAGACUGCCGUCGUCAAGACGGAGGAAGGUGGGGAUGACGUCAAGUCAUCAUGGCCCUUAUGCCCCGGGCUGCACACGUGCUACAAUGGUCGGUACAAACGGAAGCGAAGCCGAGAGGUGAAGCGAAUCCAAGC
RNAcentral lists this ribosomal RNA (727 nucleotides) under uncultured Planctomycetota bacterium. RNAcentral describes it as "bacterial SSU rRNA". It matches the Rfam family "Bacterial small subunit ribosomal RNA", at positions 562 to 1278 of the family's 1533-position model. Lineage: Bacteria; Pseudomonadati; Planctomycetota. The record is from RNAcentral.